UUUACCUUUUACAGACACGAACGGCCAAUACAGACAUAACGGUUUCAAUAUCCAGCGGAUGCUCAGAAUUGGCAAAGUGCGGAAGUCCGCCGAUGUGAUGCCGACAGUGGACAGACGGAGGAUAGGCGGGUGUAUAAGAUCCUGCUUACAAACAGGCUCCAUGUCAUUUAUCGGUUGUCACAUGAUGUGUGCUUGAUCUUGGCUGCUCGGAAUACCUGAAAAUUUUUUUUUUUU
Long non-coding RNA from Octopus sinensis (East Asian common octopus), 234 nucleotides. RefSeq lists it as uncharacterized. The transcript has 2 exons. Lineage: Eukaryota; Metazoa; Mollusca; Cephalopoda; Octopoda; Octopodidae. The record is from RefSeq and is a predicted model, not a curated record.